AUUGAGUCCAUGGAGCGAGCUGAGAGCUAGAGAACCUGCUAAGGCCAUCAAACCUAUCGAUCGGAAGUCAGUCCAUCAGAUUUGCUCUGGGCCGGUGGUACUGAGUCUAAGCACUGCGGUGAAGGAGUUAGUAGAAAACAGUCUGGAUGCUGGUGCCACCAAUAUUGAUCUAAAGCUUAAGGACUAUGGAGUGGAUCUCAUUGAAGUUUCAGACAAUGGAUGUGGGGUAGAAGAAGAAAACUUUGAAGGCUUAAAUGCCAAACCUUAGAUUUUAUGAUGACUCCUCAACCGUUUAGAUCUUGGUUAUCUCAGAGGGAUCAUCAGCUUUUUAAGAAAGUUUUGAGAGAAAAGCAAGUGAAGAAAAACAUAGUCAAUGCUCAACAUCACGGGUCUCUCACUGAACACACCACACCUGGUAUUCUCUCACAGCGAUGUCACCAUUUCUACCUGCCACGCAUCGGCGAAGGUUGGGACUCGACUGGUGUUUGAUCACGAUGGGAAAAUCAUCCAGAAAACCCCCUACCCCCACCCCAGAGGGACCACAGUCAGCGUGAAGCAGUUAUUUUCUACACUACCUGUGCACCAUAAGGAAUUUCAAAGGAAUAUUAAGAAGACGUGCCUGUUUCCCCUUCGCCUUCUGCCGUGAUUGUCAGUUUCCUGAGGCCUCCCCAGCCAUGCUUCCUGUACAGCCUGCAGAACUCCUCCAGCCCACCCGAUUCCUCCCCACCUCCUCCACCUCCCCAGGCCCCACUCACCUCCUCCAACUCCUCCGGGGAAACCCAAGCCCUGCCGCUCAUGGAACAGAAGAACUGGAACCGAAGUUUCUGGAACAGGACUAUCUGAGAGCGGUUCUUCCUGGCCCUCGGGUUCAUGCAACGGCGUAACUGGAACCGACGCUUACGGACCAAGGGUAUGCGAGAGCGGUACUUCCUGGCCCUCGGGUUCAUGGAACGGCCUAACUGGAACCGACGCUUACGGAGCAAGGGUAUGCGAGAGCGGUUCUUCCUGGCCCUCGGGUUCAUGGAACGGCCUAACUGGAACCAACGCUUACGGAGCAAGGGUAUGCGAGAGCGGGUCUUCCCAUACAGGAAGUGGAAGAUGUUUUGUUUGGAGUCCUCGUCGUCCUCCUCCAUGUCAUUGGCCAGGUAGCUGAGGAUAGAAAUCAGGUUGCUGCUCAGGGGCACCACCAGGAGAGGCCUCCGGCUGAGGUCAGCUUCCCAGAGAGGAAGGUAAGGGACCGUCCCUAGCUCAGGACUGGCACCCACCCUGCAGAGAGCCACGCCUUCCUCAGGAGGGCUCUGCUGGACAGAGACCUGAUCAAGGGCGUCUCCCACUCCUUCAGGAUGGAGACAAAAACCCAACUGGUGGCCGAGAGUGGUGGCUUACGCCUGGAAUCCCAGCACAUUGGGAGGCCAAAGCAGGAGGAUCACUUGAGGCCAGGAGUUUGAGACGGGCCUGGGCAACAUAGCAAGACCCUCGUCUCUAUUAAAAAUAUAAGAAAUAUGCCAGACGCAGUGGCUCAUGCCUGUAAUCCCAGCACUUUAGAAGGCUGAAGCAGGUGGAUCGCUUGAGACCAGGAGUUGGAGACCAGCCUGGUCAACACGGAGAAACCCCAUCUCUACUAAAAAUACAAAAAUCAGCCUGGUGCCGUGGCACACCCGUUAGGCCUAGCUACUCAGGAGGCUGAAGCAUAAGAAUUGUGUGAACCCAGGAGGCAGAGGCUGCAGUGAGUUGAGAUUGGGCCACUCCAUUCCAGCCUGAGAGGCAGAGCAAGACUCUGUCUCAAUAAACAAACAAACAAACAAACAAACUGUCCAGGUGUGGUGGCACAGCCCUGUAGUCGGAGCUAAUAAAGAAGCUGAGGUGGGAGGAUCGCUUGAGCCCAGGAUAUGGAGGCUGUGGUGAGCUAUGAUCUCACCACUGCACUCUAGCUUGGGGGACAGGGCAAGUCUGUCUCAAAAAAAUAAAAGCAAUUGAAUACAUUGA
Long non-coding RNA from Homo sapiens (human), 1986 nucleotides. Ensembl annotates it as PMS1 homolog 2, mismatch repair system component pseudogene 4. Its record names the gene PMS2P4. NCBI's taxonomy places the organism in Eukaryota, Metazoa, Chordata, Mammalia, Primates, Hominidae. The record is from Ensembl.